Molecule: ribosomal RNA, 1209 nt
Filed under: Triticum aestivum (bread wheat)
Lineage: Eukaryota; Viridiplantae; Streptophyta; Magnoliopsida; Poales; Poaceae
Description: partial small subunit ribosomal RNA
Source: RNAcentral
AUGGGGGCAAAAAUUGACCAGUCUGUUAAUGAUGGCGGAGGUCCAAUUUUUUUUAAAAAUGGUCAGGUUUGUCAUCAUAUAGGCUCGUUGCUUCCAAAUGAAGGUGAUACACCCAAGUAUGUAGAGUUAUAUAUACAUGACAGAGAAAAUGAGGUUAAGAACAGAAUUCAAGCUCUAAAUCACCAUGAUGAAACAUGCGCCGGGUUAGAUAAGGACAUUGUGAGGGGUCUUAUGCAAAUGCUUGAUACAGAUAAUUCUUUAGUCAAAAAGUUUCAUAUGGCUGCGGAGAUAUUGGAACAAAAUAAACAUGAGGUGAUUUCAAUAAGGCUUAUAGCUCCUGGCGAGAAUGAUAGCCCUCAGUUUAGUUUACCAGCGACAGAUGAGCUGGUGGCUUUGGUUUAUGGUGAGUUCACGUUAGAGGCACCAUGUCGAGAUCUGAUCAUACAGACUAAAGGCGAUAGGUUGCACCAUAUUUCUUCUUUAGAUACUACCUACAUGUCCUUGCAAUACCCUUUGUUGUUUCCAUAUAGUGAGUGUGGUUUCCAGCUCGGUGUGCACUACAUCGGUGCUGAUGUUGAUGACCUGAACAAGAGGGUGAAAAUGACCAUGCAAGAUUACUAUUGCUUUUUCACAUUUAAACCUAACCUGCACAAUCCAUAUCUUUGUUGUGGCCUAUUGUCAUCACAGGCUAUUGUUGACUUCCGUGCUUGCAUUGAUGAGUGCCGCCUCAAUUUUAUUCUUAAGUGUAAUGAUGAAAUGCGGGCUGAAAAUCUUCAGGGGGUUGUUGACAUAGUAGACCAGGGUAUGAUUGAUGGAUCAGAGGUUGGGAAGAAAAAUAUUCUUCCAUCAACCUACACUGGCGGUCGUCGGUAUAUGUAUGGAAAUUUCCAAGAUUCUGUUGUUGUCUCCCGGGUUCAUGGGUCACCGGACGUUUUUACAACUUUCACAUGUAACCCAAAGUGGGAGGAAAUCCUUGAUUCUAUUGAACCUGGGCAAACAAUGAUAGAUAGGGCUGACAUUGCUAUUAGGGUGUACCACAGGAAACUUAUGCAGUACCUUCAUCGAAUCAAAAAAGGGAAUGCCUUUGGUCUUAUUGUUGCUGGUACUGCCCCUUGCAAGCCUCUUUCAUUUUGCUCUUUCUCUUUCUACGUUGUUCUUACGUCUUUUAUGUCGCCUUUCUCUCCUAUUUUCAGUCUUGCACACUAUUGA